Molecule: transfer RNA, 94 nt
Filed under: Nocardia farcinica IFM 10152
Lineage: Bacteria; Bacillati; Actinomycetota; Actinomycetes; Mycobacteriales; Nocardiaceae
Description: putative tRNA-Ser
Rfam family: tRNA
About the family: Transfer RNA (tRNA) molecules are approximately 80 nucleotides in length.
Source: RNAcentral
GGUGGCGUGUCCGAGCGGCCUAAGGAGCACGCCUCGAAAGCGUGUGAGGGGUAACCCCCCUCCGAGGGUUCAAAUCCCUCCGCCACCGCCACGA